RNAcentral lists this ribosomal RNA (253 nucleotides) under uncultured bacterium. RNAcentral's name for it is "partial 16S ribosomal RNA". It matches the Rfam family "Bacterial small subunit ribosomal RNA", at positions 524 to 776 of the family's 1533-position model. The record is from RNAcentral.
UACGGAGGGUGCAAGCGUUAUUCGGAAUGACUGGGCGUAAAGAGCACGUAGGCGGCUUAUUAAGUCUGAUGUGAAAGCCCCGAACUCAAUUUGGGAAGUGCAUUGGAUACUGGUAAGCUAGAGUAUAGGAGAGGAGAGUGGAAUUCCAGGUGUAGAGGUGAAAUUCGUAGAUAUCUGGAGGAACAACGGAGGCGAAGGCGACUCUCUGGACUAUUACUGACGCUGAGGUGCGAAAGCGUGGGGAGCGAACAGG